AUUCAACUACAGGAAACCCUUA
RNAcentral lists this transfer RNA (22 nucleotides) under Pseudogobius olorum (Swan River goby). RNAcentral's name for it is "partial tRNA-Glu". The record is from RNAcentral. Lineage: Eukaryota; Metazoa; Chordata; Actinopteri; Gobiiformes; Gobiidae.